RNAcentral lists this ribosomal RNA (292 nucleotides) under uncultured bacterium. Its description in RNAcentral is "partial 16S ribosomal RNA". It matches the Rfam family "Bacterial small subunit ribosomal RNA", at positions 505 to 796 of the family's 1533-position model. The record is from RNAcentral.
GUGACAGCCGCCGCGGUAAUACGAGAGGUGCAAGCGUUGUUCGGAAUUAUUGGGCGUAAAGCGCACGUAGGCGGGUUCGUAUGUCGAUUGUGAAAGCCCCGGGCUCAACCUGGGAAUUGCAGUCGAAACUGCGAAUCUUGAAUACCUGAGAGGGUGGGAGAAUUCCUGGUGGAGUAGUGAAAUACGUAGAGAUCAGGAGGAAUACCGGAGGCGAAGGCGCCUGCCUGGCAGUGUAUUGACGCUGAGGUGCGAAAGCGUGGGGAGCAAACAGGAUUAGAAACCCGAGUAGUCC